This 351-nucleotide ribosomal RNA is filed under the name uncultured bacterium. RNAcentral describes it as "bacterial SSU rRNA". It matches the Rfam family "Bacterial small subunit ribosomal RNA", at positions 22 to 356 of the family's 1533-position model. The record is from RNAcentral.
GCUCAGGAUGAACGCUGGCGGCGUGCUUAACACAUGCAAGUCGAACGGGGAACAUUUUAUUGAAGCUUCGGCAGAUUUAGCUUGUUUCUAGUGGCGGACGGGUGAGUAACGCGUGGGUAACCUGCCUUAUACUGGGGGAUAACAGCCAGAAAUGACUGCUAAUACCGCAUAAGCGCACAGAACCGCAUGGUUCGGUGUGAAAAACUCCGGUGGUAUAAGAUGGACCCGCGUUGGAUUAGCUAGUUGGCAGGGUAGCGGCCUACCAAGGCGACGAUCCAUAGCCGGCCUGAGAGGGUGAACGGCCACAUUGGGACUGAGACACGGCCCAGACUCCUACGGGAGGCAGCAGUA